GGGGAAUUAGGGAAUGAGAGUAUCUGUGCGGAGAUCAAGGCGUGUGUAUGUGUGUAUGAGUGUGUGUACGUGUGUGUGUGUAUUUGUGUGGGUACGUGUGUGUGUGUGUGUAUGAGUGUUAGUUUGUGAAGCAUGUUCACUUGGAAGUUUGAGAGUUUCAAUGCACCGGAGUUGUAUGUGUGCUGGGGAAUUAGGGAGUGAGAUUGCUGCAUCUAUGGGGAGAUCAAGGCUAUAGAUGUGUGUGUCUACGCUCCUUCGACUGUGUGUGAGAGUCUGAAUAAGCAUGGGGGGUAGUGUGUGUGUGUGUGUGUGUGUGUUGAUGGGCAUGGGAGGGUUUGUGUAUGCAUGUGCGUGUGUGGAUGCGGGUAGGCAUGUGGGGGGUGGUGUGUAUACUUGUGUGUGUGUGUGUGUGUGUGUGUUGGGAGGGGGGUUGGGAGUGAAUUUAGGCAUCUUAAUUGCGCCGUUUCUCCUCGGCUGGUGGCAGGCGUAAAUGGCUCUCCCCAGGGAGCCGCUGAUCCACUUUCUGAUCUGCCGAAUCCGGCGCCGAGAGACUGAUCAAAAACCGCGCGCCGGCCUAGAUGCUUCAAACGUGCCGGGGACUGCAUCCCGUCGUUGUCACUGCCGCGCGGAGCAGCGCGGAGCGGAAGUUUGAAUUAUAGAAUUGAUGUAGAUUCUGUUUUUUUUAUUUCUUUUCUGCAUUCGUUUUUUUUUUUUUUUUAAAGAAACGAAGAUGGAAGAUUUAAGAGAGAGAGAGAGAAUGAAGAAAGAAGGCAAUGGGAAAUAGAAAAGUGGAGAGGGAAAAAGAGAGGGAGUGUGUUCAUGUGUGUGCGUGUGUGUGUGUGUGUAUGUGUGUGUGCAUGAUGACCGGCUGCAUGAAUAGAUAAUGACUCUUUUUCUGAUGCCAGGCGUGCGCUGGUGGCGUGUGUUCUACGUCGUGAGAUGCAGCGCAGAGGGACUGACCUCCACCCACGUCUCCCAGGUUGGGAAACGGCUUUCAUCCUCAUUGCCAAAUAACAGCCUACUGUUGUGUGGAGCUGGCCCUGAUC
This is a long non-coding RNA of Clupea harengus (Atlantic herring), 1046 nucleotides long. The record is from Ensembl. Lineage: Eukaryota; Metazoa; Chordata; Actinopteri; Clupeiformes; Clupeidae.